Molecule: small nuclear RNA, 191 nt
Organism: Hyla sarda
Lineage: Eukaryota; Metazoa; Chordata; Amphibia; Anura; Hylidae
Product: U2 spliceosomal RNA
Exons: 1
Source: RefSeq, a predicted model, not a curated record
AUCGCUUCUUGGCCUUUUGGCUAAGAUUAAGUGUAGUUUCUGUUCCUAUCAGUUAAAUAUCUGAUAUAUCCCCUAUCUGAGGAUCAUAUAUUAAAUGGAUUCUUGAGAACGGGGGGCAAUUUCGAAGCUUGCUUCCUUCGCCCUAUGCAUUGAUCAGAUAAAGCAGUAUCUUUGGGUACAGUGCACCAAAA